UGCAAGUGAUGCAUUUUCUCACGAUGGUCUUCCAAGCCCGCAGGGUACUGACGAAAUGCCUUUUGGCUAAACUGAUGCAGCCAC
This 84-nucleotide small nucleolar RNA is filed under the name Monopterus albus (swamp eel). Its description in RNAcentral is "Small nucleolar RNA SNORD35 (ENSMALG00000004145.1)". It matches the Rfam family "Small nucleolar RNA SNORD35". From Rfam's summary of the family: U35 is a C/D box snoRNA located in intron 6 of ribosomal protein L13A and intron 3 of ribosomal protein S11 in humans and at homologous positions in mouse and chicken ribosomal protein genes. The record is from RNAcentral. Lineage: Eukaryota; Metazoa; Chordata; Actinopteri; Synbranchiformes; Synbranchidae.